UACGUAGGGGGCAAGCGUUGUCCGGAUUUAUUGGGCGUAAAGAGCGUGUAGGCGGCUUUACAGGUCCGUUGUGAAAACUCGAGGCUCAACCUCGAGACGCCGGUGGAAACCGUAAGGCUAGAGUCCGGAAGAGGCGAGUGGAAUUCCUGGUGUAGCGGUGGAAUGCGCAGAUAUCAGGAGGAACACCAAUAGCGAAGGCAGCUCGCUGGGACGGUACUGACGCUAAGGCGCGAAAGCGUGGGGAGCGAACAGG
Molecule: ribosomal RNA, 253 nt
Filed under: uncultured bacterium
Lineage: Bacteria
Description: partial 16S ribosomal RNA
Rfam family: Bacterial small subunit ribosomal RNA
Source: RNAcentral